RNAcentral lists this ribosomal RNA (253 nucleotides) under uncultured bacterium. RNAcentral describes it as "partial 16S ribosomal RNA". It matches the Rfam family "Bacterial small subunit ribosomal RNA", at positions 524 to 776 of the family's 1533-position model. The record is from RNAcentral.
UACGUAGGGUGCGAGCGUUGUCCGGAAUUAUUGGGCGUAAAGGGCUCGUAGGCGGUUUGUCGCGUCGGGAGGGAAAACCUCGGGCUUAACUCGGGGCUUGCUUUCGAUACGGGCAGACUGGAGGUAUGCAGGGGAGAACGGAAUUCCUGGUGUAGCGGUGAAAUGCGCAGAUAUCAGUAGGAACCCCGGUGGCGAAGGCGGUUCUCUGGGCAUGACCUGACGCUGAGGAGCGAAAGUGUGGGGAGCGAACAGG